Molecule: long non-coding RNA, 987 nt
Filed under: Betta splendens (Siamese fighting fish)
Lineage: Eukaryota; Metazoa; Chordata; Actinopteri; Anabantiformes; Osphronemidae
Description: lncRNA (ENSBSLG00000022103.1)
Source: RNAcentral
CCUCUUUCUCCCCCCCCCCCCCCCCCCCCCCCCCUCCUCUCUCCCCCCUUCUUCAAGAAAACAAGAAAGCAAACCGUUGGCAUUAACACUUUCAAUUGAAAUGGCUGCACAGACAGGACUCAGCUUGGUUCCACCUCCACCCAAUGCACGCACGCACUUGCUCCCAGUGUGAACCAAUUUGCAGGAUCCCAUCGAAAUUGGGGUUUCUCUUAGUAAACGAACUCAUUGCUCCAGGUGAAGCGGUGUAGUAAAGCCGUGGCACCUGAGCAAUUACAGAGAAUUGAUGGCACUAAAUAAACAGUGAAGUGUGUUUUAACUCUGUUGCAGCAAAAUGAACUGAACUCCCACACGCGGCUCCGUCUGCCUUUUAUCCCUCUUCUGUAGCUGCCCGUGCUCACGCACGCCGGUGAAACAGCGGCUCCCACUAAUUGACACACUUCAACCAGCCGCAUCAGCAGCCGCGGCGCGGCGCGGCGCUCGCUCGUGACGGUCUGACGAUCUGGCGCACGCGGCGUGCGUUCCGCACCGAAAGUGUGCACGCGACGCGUCGCAAAGCACCGAGGGCGCCUCGACAUCAGCAGCUACAGCGAGGCGUGGAGGCUGCAGCGCGAGAGCGGGACCCUCAAUCACAGUUAUCCACCUUGGUUGGGGGGCGCGUGCAACGUGAUGGGAAUGCGGCACAUUGUUUCUGGCAGCCAGCGGGCUGUAAUGAUGUGGGCUAAAGGAGCUCCGGCGAAGAUCAGAGGAGAGGAGGAGUGCGGUGAGACCCGUGGAGGGGCCGCUGCUCCUUACUCUGCACCCUCUGCACAUUUCAUGAGUUUCCAGAUUGUGCACGGAAGCCGGUUUGCAGCAUGAGAACUGGACAGCCUGCACUCAGCAGGUCGGGAGGGCUACAAGUUGCAGCCAUAGACUUGGAUCUGGUGGAGAAUUUAAAACGCAUGCAGCUUCUCUAAUAAAGACACGGAGCGGCGCUCCUCGGGAAUCUGC